AACGAACGCUGGCGGCAUGCCUUACACAUGCAAGUCGAACGGUAACGCGGGGCAACCUGGCGACGAGUGGCGAACAGGUGAGUAAUACAUCGGAACGUGCCCAGUAGUGGGGGAUAGCCCGGCGAAAGCCGGAUUAAUACCGCAUACGAUCUAUGGAUGAAAGCGGGGGAGUCGCAAGACCUCGCGCGAUUGGAGCGGCCGAUAUCAGAUUAGGUAGUUGGUGGGGUAAAGGCCCACCAAGCCGACGAUCUGUAGCUGGUCUGAGAGGACGACCAGCCACACUGGAACUGAGACACGGUCCAGACUCCUACGGGAGGCAGCAGUGGGGAAUUUUGGACAAUGGGCGCAAGCCUGAUCCAGCAAUGCCGCGUGCAGGAUGAAGGC
RNAcentral lists this ribosomal RNA (384 nucleotides) under uncultured bacterium. RNAcentral describes it as "bacterial SSU rRNA". It matches the Rfam family "Bacterial small subunit ribosomal RNA", at positions 29 to 415 of the family's 1533-position model. The record is from RNAcentral.